UCACUUUGAUUACGAGAAUCCAACAGCUAUUUUUAUGACUUUGUCGUGAAAGUUGGAAGUAUCAUCACCGUUAAAGCUCUAUUAUAUGAGGUGUCUAUGUAUAACAUGAGUCGUUCAAGAGUGGCGGCUAUGAUUGUUUAUGCAAACUUCCUAUCACGUUUAAUGAUAGUUGAGAUUUAGAC
RNAcentral lists this unclassified non-coding RNA (182 nucleotides) under Mecistocirrus digitatus. RNAcentral's name for it is "sequence contains ITS1". The record is from RNAcentral. Lineage: Eukaryota; Metazoa; Nematoda; Chromadorea; Rhabditida; Trichostrongylidae.